GGGGAUGUAGCUCAGUGGGCAGAGUGCCUGCCUGGCACGCUCGAGGCCCUGGGUUCAAUCCCCAGCACCGCCG
Sciurus carolinensis (gray squirrel) is the source of this 73-nucleotide non-coding RNA. Lineage: Eukaryota; Metazoa; Chordata; Mammalia; Rodentia; Sciuridae. The record is from the annotation of a RefSeq genome assembly.